CCUACGGGGGGCAGCAGUGAGGAAUAUUGGUCAAUGGCCGCAGGGCUGAACCAGCCAAGUCGCGUGAGGGAUGACGGUCCUAUGGAUUGUAAACCUCUUUUGUCAGGGAGCAAAGGGCGCCACGUGUGGCGCUUUGCGAGUACCUGAAGAAAAAGCAUCGGCUAACUCCGUGCCAGCAGCCGCGGUAAUACGGAGGAUGCGAGCGUUAUCCGGAUUUAUUGGGUUUAAAGGGUGCGCAGGCGGAAGAUCAAGUCAGCGGUAAAAUUGAGAGGCUCAACCUCUUCGAGCCGUUGAAACUGGUUUUU
RNAcentral lists this ribosomal RNA (305 nucleotides) under uncultured bacterium. RNAcentral's name for it is "bacterial SSU rRNA". It matches the Rfam family "Bacterial small subunit ribosomal RNA", at positions 338 to 641 of the family's 1533-position model. The record is from RNAcentral.